This 69-nucleotide transfer RNA is filed under the name Liparis tanakae (Tanaka's snailfish). Its description in RNAcentral is "tRNA-Ala". It matches the Rfam family "tRNA". Rfam says of the family: Transfer RNA (tRNA) molecules are approximately 80 nucleotides in length. Their secondary structure includes four short double-helical elements and three loops (D, anti-codon, and T loops). Lineage: Eukaryota; Metazoa; Chordata; Actinopteri; Perciformes; Liparidae. The record is from RNAcentral. RNAcentral also lists the same sequence under 2 other names.
AAAGCUUUAGCUUAAUUAAAGUGUCUGUUUUGCAUGCAGAAGAUGUGGGUUAGUACCCCGCAAGUUUUA